This 642-nucleotide ribosomal RNA is filed under the name uncultured bacterium. RNAcentral describes it as "bacterial SSU rRNA". It matches the Rfam family "Bacterial small subunit ribosomal RNA", at positions 232 to 884 of the family's 1533-position model. The record is from RNAcentral.
CGCGGCCUAUCAGCUUGUUGGUGGGGUAACGGCCUACCAAGGCGACGACGGGUAGCCGGCCUGAGAGGGCGACCGGCCACACUGGGACUGAGACACGGCCCAGACUCCUACGGGAGGCAGCAGUGGGGAAUAUUGCACAAUGGGCGAAAGCCUGAUGCAGCGACGCCGCGUGAGGGAUGACGGCCUUCGGGUUGUAAACCUCUCUCAGCAGGGACGAAGCGAAAGUGACGGUACCUGCAGAAGAAGCACCGGCCAACUACGUGCCAGCAGCCGCGGUAAUACGUAGGGUGCAAGCGUUGUCCGGAAUUAUUGGGCGUAAAGAGCUCGUAGGCGGUCUGUCGCGUCGGCUGUGAAAACCUGGGGCUCAACCCCGGGCCUGCAGCCGAUACGGGCAGACUAGAAUUCGGUAGGGGAGACUGGAAUUCCUGGUGUAGCGGUGAAAUGCGCAGAUAUCAGGAGGAACACCGGUGGCGAAGGCGGGUCUCUGGGCCGAUAUUGACGCUGAGGAGCGAAAGCGUGGGGAGCGAACAGGAUUAGAUACCCUGGUAGUCCACGCCGUAAACGUUGGGCGCUAGGUGUGGGCCACAUUCCACGUGGUCUGUGCCGCAGCUAACGCAUUAAGCGCCCCGCCUGGGGAGUACG